CGUCCCCUCUCUCUACAUUCUCUCUCUAGAAACCUCGGCUUGUCCCCCAUUCAUGAAUUCAUCUGAGCAUGGGCAGUAGCUUCCUCACUCCCCCCGCGAAGCGCCGUCCCAUGUCCCAAGCCUCGGCCGCCUCGAUGCCCGACCCCAGCCCCAGCCUCCCCGCCGCCGCCGCAGCCGCAGCCGCCGCCGCCAAGCGCUCCCGGGCCCCGCCGCCGCCGCUCUCCGUGCCCCCCGGCCACGCGGCGUUCCGCCUCCUCUGCCACGCGUCCCGCAUCGGCGGGGUCAUCGGCAAGUCCGGCGCCACCGUCAAGCACCUCCAGCAGCUGACCGGCGCGAGGAUUCGGGUCGAGGACGCGCCCCAGGAGUCGCCCGACCGGGUCAUCACCGUGAUCGCCCCGAGCGCGGUCGCGGCCAAGGUCUCUGUCUCGGUCUCGGUCUCGCCCGACGGCGGCGGCGGCGGCGAGGGCCGUGACGAGAGCCCGGGGGCGAGCGAUGGUAGCGGCGAUGUCGAGGGCAAGGUGGAGGUGUCCAAAGCGCAGGAGGCGCUGGUUAAGGUUUUCGAGAGGAUCCUGGAAGUCGCGGCGGAGAGCAACGGAGUUGGCGUGGGGGUUGGGGUGGUUUCUUGCAGGGUUUUGGCGGGGAAGAGCCAGGCCGGGUCGGUGAUCGGCAAAGGAGGGAAGACUGUGGAGAAGAUAAGGAAGGAAAGUGGCUGCAAGAUUAGGGUUUUGACGGAGCAGCUGCCGGCAUGCGCUUCUGCCGGCGAAGAAAUGAUAGAGAUUGAAGGGGAGGUUCAUGGAGUAAAGAAGGCACUUGUUGCAGUCUCUGGCUGCCUUCAAGAAUGUCCACCAGCUGAUAAGAUACCCGACAAGGCUCGGACGACUGGUGGCAGAACUCUUGAUUCUUUAUCCCUCCAUACUUUGCCUGAAAUUUACGGAGAUCUUCCUCAGCGGAACACAGGGUUAUCCGCAAUGCCAAGUGGAGCAGUUAAUUAUGGUGCAGGAGUUCAUCCCUUGGCUGUUGAAGUGGACCGGGCCCCUACCAUUGAAGCGAAAGCACUUAAGCAAGAAGUUAGCUACAGGAUUCUUUGUUCCAAUGACAGGGUUGGGGGUGUCAUUGGAAGGGGGGGCUCCAUUGUUAAGGCUCUUCAGAAUGAAUCAGGUGCUUCAAUAAGUGUUGGACCUACUGUCGCUGAGUCUGAUGAGCGACUAAUAACUAUUACGGCUUCUGAGAAUCCCGAAUCACACUACUCACCUGCACAAAGGGCUGUUGUUCUUGUUUUCAAGAGGUCAAUUGAAGCUGGCACCGAAAAGGGUCUCGAUUCUGGCUCAGGUCCUGUUACUGCUCGUCUUGUAGUCCUGUCGAACCUCGUUGGUUGCUUGUUGGGAAAAGGAGGCUCUAUAGUUUCAGAAACACGGAGGAUAACAGGAGCUAACAUUUGGAUAAUGGUGGGUGACCAGGUCCCUAAGUGUGCUUCAGAGGAUGAUGGAGUGGUACAGAUUUCAGGGGAGUUUUCUAACGUUCAAAAUGCGUUAUACAAUAUAACUGGUAGACUACGAGAUAAUAUUAUUUCCAGCUCAUCGAACAAUUUGGGAAGCAGGACGGCUUCCUCUGUUUUGGCAGAGAGUAGUCCUUAUGGAAGACUAAAGGAUCCUGUUGCUCUGGGUUUGGACACAUCAUCUGGUGAUUCUCCAGGUCUUAGCAGAUACAUGACUUUGACAGCCAGUACAGAUCAACUUGAAUUAAGGCAUCAUCUUGAUCAUCCUUCCGCACCGAGGUUGUGGACAUCACAGGGAGUUGCUGGAGUUCCACAAAGGAGCAACUCAGAUGUUGGCAGAGGUUUGCAGGGAGUUGCUGGAGUUCCACAAAGGAGCAACUCAGAUGUUGGCAGAGGUUUGACAUCACUAAGAAGUGGUACAGAACUUGGCAGUGGGAGUAAAUCUGCUAUUGUGACGAACACUACAGUCGAGAUCGUUGUACCUGAAAAUGUCAUCCACUGUGUGUAUGGGGAGAACGGUAGCAAUUUGAGUAGACUGAGACAGAUCUCUGGUGCAAAGGUUACGGUGCAUGAACCUCGUCUGGGGAAAAGUGAGAGUACCGUUGUCAUCUCUGGCACACCGGAUGAGGCUCAGGCUGCGCAAAGUCUUCUUCAUGCGUUUAUUCUCACCGGUUCAUGACUACACAUUCACUAACGAAACCAUCGGCUCUGCAUUUUGAGCAGUUUCUUCUCUUUUCUAGUGGUGCUGUGAGGACCCAUGCGGGCAUCUGGCGAGCCGUGAAGAGGGAGAGGGAGAGAUUGGGCGAGAGAGAUGUUGCGCUGGGGCCAUUGCCAUGACGGUCGUCGGAGAUGCCGCGACUUGGUGUCUGUUGAGGUUGAUACUAAGGCAGGAGCGAUAAUUUUUGGACUGGGGAUUUUGAAUGGCCUUGAUUAUUUUUGUAUCUUAGGGAUAUAGAUUCUAUUUGUUUCAUAGAAAAUGAUUGAUUCCGAAAUGUUAAUUAUAUCGUUUAAAAUUGAAUGAACAGUAAAUAUUUUCAUCGU
RNA transcript from Eucalyptus grandis, 2536 nucleotides. It is a transcript of the gene named KH domain-containing protein HEN4, with no coding region annotated. Lineage: Eukaryota; Viridiplantae; Streptophyta; Magnoliopsida; Myrtales; Myrtaceae. The transcript has 8 exons. The record is from RefSeq and is a predicted model, not a curated record.